This 2888-nucleotide ribosomal RNA is filed under the name Vibrio parahaemolyticus SNUVpS-1. RNAcentral describes it as "bacterial LSU rRNA". It matches the Rfam family "Bacterial large subunit ribosomal RNA". The record is from RNAcentral. Lineage: Bacteria; Pseudomonadati; Pseudomonadota; Gammaproteobacteria; Vibrionales; Vibrionaceae.
UUAAGUGACUAAGCGUACACGGUGGAUGCCUUGGCAGUCAGAGGCGAUGAAAGACGUAGUAACUUGCGAUAAGCCCAGAUUAGGUAGUAACAACCAUUUGAGUCUGGGAUUUCUGAAUGGGGAAACCCACUUACAUAAGUAAGUAUCAUUAACUGAAUACAUAGGUUAAUGAGGCGAACCGGGGGAACUGAAACAUCUAAGUACCCCGAGGAAAAGAAAUCAACCGAGAUUCCGAAAGUAGCGGCGAGCGAAAUUGGACUAGCCCUUAAGCUUUACACGCGUUAGACGAACGGUCUGGAAAGUCCGACGAUACAGGGUGAUAGUCCCGUAGUUGACGACGUGUGUUCAGUGAAAUCGAGUAGGGCGGGACACGUGAUAUCCUGUCUGAAUAUGGGGGGACCAUCCUCCAAGGCUAAAUACUACUGACUGACCGAUAGUGAACCAGUACCGUGAGGGAAAGGCGAAAAGAACCCCUGUGAGGGGAGUGAAAUAGAACCUGAAACCGUGUACGUACAAGCAGUAGGAGCAGGCUUGUCCUGUGACUGCGUACCUUUUGUAUAAUGGGUCAGCGACUUAUAUUCAGUGGCAAGGUUAACCAUCUAGGGGAGCCGUAGGGAAACCGAGUCUUAACUGGGCGUUCAGUCUCUGGAUAUAGACCCGAAACCAGGUGAUCUAGCCAUGGGCAGGUUGAAGGUUGAGUAACAUCAACUGGAGGACCGAACCGACUAAUGUUGAAAAAUUAGCGGAUGACUUGUGGCUAGGGGUGAAAGGCCAAUCAAACCUGGAGAUAGCUGGUUCUCCCCGAAAGCUAUUUAGGUAGCGCCUCGGACGAAUACUACUGGGGGUAGAGCACUGUUAAGGCUAGGGGGUCAUCCCGACUUACCAACCCUUUGCAAACUCCGAAUACCAGUAAGUACUAUCCGGGAGACACACGGCGGGUGCUAACGUCCGUCGUGGAGAGGGAAACAACCCAGACCGCCAGCUAAGGUCCCAAAUUACUACUAAGUGGGAAACGAUGUGGGAAGGCUCAGACAGCCAGGAUGUUGGCUUAGAAGCAGCCAUCAUUUAAAGAAAGCGUAAUAGCUCACUGGUCGAGUCGGCCUGCGCGGAAGAUGUAACGGGGCUAAGUAGUAAACCGAAGCUGCGGCAAUAUACUUUUGUAUAUUGGGUAGGGGAGCGUUCUGUAAGCGGUUGAAGGUGUGUGGUAACGCAUGCUGGACGUAUCAGAAGUGCGAAUGCUGACAUGAGUAACGAUAAAGGGGGUGAAAAACCUCCUCGCCGGAAGACCAAGGGUUCCUGUCCAACGUUAAUCGGGGCAGGGUAAGUCGACCCCUAAGGCGAGGCCGAAAGGCGUAGUCGAUGGGAAACGGGUUAAUAUUCCCGUACUUCUUACAAUUGCGAUGGGGGGACGGAGAAGGCUAGGUGGGCCUGGCGACGGUUGUCCAGGUUCAAGUGCGUAGGCUUAAGAGUUAGGUAAAUCCGGCUCUUUCUAAGGCUGAGACACGACGUCGAGCACCUACGGGUGUGAAGUCAUUGAUGCCAUGCUUCCAGGAAAAGCCUCUAAGCUUCAGAUUGUAAGGAAUCGUACCCCAAACCGACACAGGUGGUCGGGUAGAGAAUACCAAGGCGCUUGAGAGAACUCGGGUGAAGGAACUAGGCAAAAUGGUACCGUAACUUCGGGAGAAGGUACGCUCUUGAUGGUGAAGUCCCUCGCGGAUGGAGCUGACGAGAGUCGCAGAUACCAGGUGGCUGCAACUGUUUAUUAAAAACACAGCACUGUGCAAAAUCGUAAGAUGACGUAUACGGUGUGACGCCUGCCCGGUGCCGGAAGGUUAAUUGAUGGGGUUAGACUUCGGUCGAAGCUCUUGAUCGAAGCCCCGGUAAACGGCGGCCGUAACUAUAACGGUCCUAAGGUAGCGAAAUUCCUUGUCGGGUAAGUUCCGACCUGCACGAAUGGCGUAAUGAUGGCCACGCUGUCUCCACCCGAGACUCAGUGAAAUUGAAAUCGCUGUGAAGAUGCAGUGUACCCGCGGCUAGACGGAAAGACCCCGUGAACCUUUACUACAGCUUGGCACUGAACAUUGACCCUACAUGUGUAGGAUAGGUGGGAGGCUUUGAAGCACGUACGCCAGUAUGUGUGGAGCCGUCCUUGAAAUACCACCCUUGUAGUGUUGAUGUUCUAACGUCGACCCCUUAUCGGGGUUGCGGACAGUGCCUGGUGGGUAGUUUGACUGGGGCGGUCUCCUCCCAAAGAGUAACGGAGGAGCACGAAGGUGGGCUAAUCACGGUUGGACAUCGUGAGGUUAGUGCAAUGGCAUAAGCCCGCUUGACUGCGAGAAUGACAAUUCGAGCAGGUGCGAAAGCAGGUCAUAGUGAUCCGGUGGUUCUGAAUGGAAGGGCCAUCGCUCAACGGAUAAAAGGUACUCCGGGGAUAACAGGCUGAUACCGCCCAAGAGUUCAUAUCGACGGCGGUGUUUGGCACCUCGAUGUCGGCUCAUCACAUCCUGGGGCUGAAGUCGGUCCCAAGGGUAUGGCUGUUCGCCAUUUAAAGUGGUACGCGAGCUGGGUUUAGAACGUCGUGAGACAGUUCGGUCCCUAUCUGCCGUGGGCGUUGGAAGAUUGAAGGGGGCUGCUCCUAGUACGAGAGGACCGGAGUGGACGAACCUCUGGUGUUCGGGUUGUGUCGCCAGACGCAUUGCCCGGUAGCUAAGUUCGGAAUCGAUAACCGCUGAAAGCAUCUAAGCGGGAAGCGAGCCCUGAGAUGAGUCUUCCCUGAUACUUUAAGUAUCCUAAAGGGUUGUCGGAGACUACGACGUUGAUAGGUCAGGUGUGUAAGUGCUGUGAGGCAUUGAGCUAACUGAUACUAAUUGCCCGUGAGGCUUAACCAU